AAUGACAAGGUAGAACUCUCACCCUCCAGACUGGAGCAGUCUGUGCUCCCCAGCAGCUAACCGCCCCGGGACGCUCGGCCUCUAGUGCCUCCUUACCUCCAACUUAGAUAGAAAUUAAUGAAAACACCAUUUCCAGACGAGUAUGAAAUAAGAAUAUAAAAGGUGUUAGCUUUUUUGGUUUGUUUUUGCAUUGUGAUCUUAAAGCAUCCUGUAGUAUGCUGGUGUGUCGACUGCUGGUAGUCUCUGCUGCGUGGUGUGAGCAGAAUACCCGUUUCUGAGAGGAACAGCAAAGAAACAUAAGUACAAAAACUGAUGGACCACUACAUCUUCCAAAAUGAGCCUAUUCACGCGUUUCUGCUGGAAACUAGCAUGUUUUGAAGAGAGAAGAAUUCGGUGCUGGACUGUCUCGAGCAUUAUCGGUGGUGCAGCUUCAGGGACCAGCUUGGUUUACCUGACUUGAGGAGUCACAUGUACAGCAAGCCAAAGGGACAUGGGCUUUCAGUACACCUGGAAAAAUGAUCAGACCAACCAAGAAGAUCCUGGUGUCUGUGUUCAGCAGCAGCAGAGCAGAAGAAAUGCCACAGGAAAGAGAAGAGGGGGAAAAGAGCAGUGAGCUGUAAAGAAAAAGCUACUGAGAGCUUCAUGGUGCUAGUCUGGGAGGAGGAGGAUGAGUAGGUUUUAUGUGUCUUAGGAGUAUUUACAUAGGGCUGAUCAACAGUUCUCAAAAGAACUUUAUCACAAAGCUACAGAGGACUGUUAAUACCAAAAAUAGUGCCUCAUUCUAUCAGGCUCCAACUUACAAAUGCUUGAAUUCAGCUUCCUUAAUGGGCUUUUGACAUUUUUUUGUAUUUUUUUUGCUAUAAGUCUGAGUAAUAUUCCUCAAAGAGGUUGUGUAACAGCAGCAAGGCUGGAAAGAUUUAAUUCAGCAAGACCUCAUGCUGCAAAAGAUCAGAUUAAUUUUUUAGCUUCUGGUCUUGCUGCAGAGCUUUCAGUGUUUCAUUGUCUCCAUAGGAAGAGAGUCCUGCAAAGUUCCAGGUCUUCUCUUUUUACUUUGCUUAGAUGGAGCAACCUCAGUCAGCCCACCCAGCCAUUAGGUCCCCCUGUCAGCUCUGCUCUCCUGAUGGUUCUGUGGUAGAUUCUGUUUGUUGGCAAGCCUCACCCAAAAAUGGGCUUUUCUACAGACUUUUCCAAAACUGAACAGACUGGUUAUUUCCAUUCUCUGAAUUUGUGCUCCUGUCACUGGAUAAAGUUGCCUUGCUUGAGACAACUUGAUAGUUAUAAUUUGCACUCAGUCUGUGAUCCUCUCUAUAGCUCCAAAUCCUUCUCUACAAAACAUCUGCUCAGCAGUUGUUGGUAUAUUUGUGCAAGUGGAUUUUGCCCUCUGAACAGAACAUCCAACAUUGUUUCACUAUUUCCCAGUGGUUUCCUAUUUCUGCAUUGACAGAUCAGUGCCUUUUUGUGGGAAUAACGUAGGUGAUAGGACUUUCCUUUCCACAUGUUAGUGCUGAGGCUUGGCUCUCAGGACCCAUGAGCCCAGCUCUGCAGUGCUCUGCAGCUCCCAGCCUAGGGAAGGGUGGCUGUAGCUUAGCCAGCUUUAAAAGCAUCCCUUAUGGCCGAUAAUUGUACGUUCUUAUUACUUUUGCAGCAUUUGUCACUGCUGGCAAUUCUGUUAGCGUUAAUUAUUGUUAUGGAAGACUUCAUUUUGGAGCGUUCUCUGGGAGAAUCACUAUUUCAUGGCUGCUUCCCCAAAUAAAUGGAUCUGCUUUUCUCGUGGGUCCUCUGCUAGGGAUUUCUGCAAAUGACCUCCAAGGGGAAAAAUAAGCAGAAAAUGUACUCGUUUCCUUCCCUUUAAUUGUGUUUUUGGUUAGGCAUUGAAGAUGGGGGGGUGACUUUCUCAAAGCACUGCGUGUCUGAGUUCGUAGCCACCUCCAGCUCUCUGCUUUCAAUCAUGAACAGACCUGAAGGCCUCACCACAGCUCAGGUCCUGUCAGACUGCAAUUACUCUCAGCUGUGUUUGCAGGAAGGAAUUCUUGACCAGAGUCUCUCUUCAGUUCUGAGAUUUUAAAAACCACCAGAAGAUCUCCAGGCUUACAGACGAUUUCUGCUGCCCACGCCACCACUGAAGUUCAGGGCACUCAGAAGAGGAAUGUUUGCCUGCAGGGUUGGAGGGAAUCAAGUAUUUUGUACAUUUCAGAGCUUGACAAUAAAGCGUCCCUUUAGAUAUCGUAUCUAUGCAAACACUUAGGCUUUCAGCAGAGUGGAUUUGUAAGCAGCCUUAUGUACAUGUAGUUACGAAAUUAGCCUUUGAGUUACUUCAGUCUAUUCUAAUUUUCUGCUUUUGCCAGAGUGAGUGUUUGGCAUUUGCUGUAGUUUUUCUGAUUCCCUGUGUGCCAACAGAGAUGGGACACUGGGAUGAACAGGCAUUGCUCUGCUCCCACAUGAACUUUGUUUUUAUAGUAGCUUAUAUCCUUGUCAUACACCAUGCGAUUUUUUUCCUUCUGUUUUUGCUUUAAUAUUGAACUAAACAUAAGGUCCUGUUUGGCCAUCUGAUACUUCAUAAAGAGUCCCCUGCUUUUGCCAGCGCUUGUGUCUGAAUGAGACAUGGGGAAGUUCUAACAAUGAUCCACUUGUAGGUAGUUACCCACCACUUGUAGGUAGUUACCCACCACUUGUAGGUAGUUACCCACCACUUGUAGGUAGUUACCCACCACUUGUGCAACAGAGGAGCUCAUGUGUGUUAUUGAGGCGCAUAACUGAUUGCAGCCCUCCUGUUUUCUAAUGCUGUUGUUUGGCUACCAGCACGAUCUUGUAAGCAGCCAUCACUUUUAGGCCAAUGGUUGCUUUUCAUACCGAGUGAACUUAUCUUGGAUUCAGUUCAGGACCUUUGCGUUUGUAAAGUUGUAACUUGGGCUGUUGAGACAAGGAGACAAUUCAGUGUUGGUACGCUGGCCCUGGGCACCAUGGAAAAGAAAAUCUGAAGUUGCAUGUUGAAGUGCUUUUCCUCUAUCGGAGCCGUCCUGGGGUUUUGUUCCCACUUACUUUCCCUGCUGGGUGUUUUUAAAAUGUCACUGCAAUUAACCCUUGGAAACCUCUGAAAAUUAUUUUCUGUUCUAUUUUUGCCUAUGAGCUCUUAGCUCUGUGGCAGUAUUUCUCCUUUUCUACCCCUUUUUGAGCGUGGUACUGUGCUCCCUUUCUCAAUCUUGUCUUUAUCCCAUUUUGUCUUAGGGUAAGGAAGCAAUUGCCAUUUUUGUUUCUGUCCUAAAAGUGCACAGAAAUCUAUAAGCUCAUUUCCAUACCAUGGUGGCAAGGUUUUAAAGCAGAACUUUGUGCUCUGGGGACAAGGAAGGCAGGACCCAAAUGUCCAGGUGGUGAGAAGUCAUGGCAUGCAGACAUCCCUUGGAAAUGUCAUUCCCUUCACAGCACUGCUUCUUCUUUUGUGUCUUACUGUUUGACCUGCAGCUGUUGUGUGGUCUGGGUAGAAACCUCAUGAUGUAUUUUUCAUGAAUUCUAGCUCUUAAAAAAAAAAUAGGUUUUCAUUCAUUAGAUCUCCUCAGCAGAAGUUAAUGUGUGCUUUCUUUGAUCUUGAAAGUAGGUAAUGAGAGAUUUACAUUAAUUUUCAUUUUCUCUGGUCAGCUUUAUAAAGCUUCAUUCAAAAACUGAAGUCCCAAAUCAAAGCUGAAAUGAUUGUGGCUGCCACUGCAUUCGGAGCCCACUGAUGCACUCAUAUCAUAGCAGCCUUUUGGUUGGAUUGAUUGCAUCCAGACCCUGGGUACUUCUGAAAGGUGAGGGUGUGCAGGGGGCUUCCAUGCUUUACCUUCUGUCUGUGCCAUCCUGGCCAUCUGCUGAGCCCCUGUCUCCCUGUCAAAGACACUUAAACAAAAAAAACCCCAACAAAUAACUCUACUGUCUUACCUCAUGCAAACAACAACCCAUCUCCUCAUGUAAGUGCAUUCUGUGUAAGUACUCUGUGUGUGUGUGUGUGGCUCUGUUAGCCUUCAGGAAGGCCGUUCUCCUUCCAUUGAAGUUAGCAUCAGGGGUAGAAAGGAGCACAGUCUUCGUUUUCCAAACUCAGAUCUGCUUUGUUGCACCCGUGAUUUUGGGAUGCUACCCGGUUUCCAUAGAAGAAGAUGGGAAUGCCUCAGAUAUCCUCUCAAAAUGUGCCUCACAGGGUAAAUGUCAGGAUAUCCAAUUUUGGCUCAGUUGCUUCCUGCUGGCUAGGAGCAUGGGCGGUGGAAAUAUGGAAAAUCUGGAAGCUACAAAUUAUUCAGAAACAGUUCUAAUCACACUGAUGAGUUCUGUUACCCCCCCCCCAAGAUCAUGGAAUCAUAGAACAGCUUGGGUAGGAAGGGGGCUUAUAGCUUGCCCAGUCCCAACCCUUGCUGUUGGCUGGCUGCCUCCCACCAGCUCAGGCUGCCCAGGACCCCAUCCAGCCUGGCCCUGAGCACCUCCAGGGAUGGGGCACCAUGCUUUUCUGGGCAGCCUAUGCCAAAUGGUGUAAUUGCAGUGUGCAGCUGAGGUUUUUCUUCAGGCCUUAAUUCCUGGCCAUGCUCGUCUCCCCGCUCCUUCUCUCCUAUCUCAAAGAUGCAAAACCAAGGCUGAGCUUGGCUCUGGGCAGAGAGAACGCAAGUACCGAGGGAUGCGGUUUAGUGGGAAGUAUUGGUGAUAGGUGGGCAGUUGGACUGGAUGAGCUCGGAGGUCUUUUCCAACCUUAGCGAUUCUAUAAUUCUACCAUCAGUGAUCUGGUGCUGCUCUUGGUGCCUCCACCAGGACACCGCCAUCCACUCAGGCCUCCGGCAUGGCGCAGUGCCCUCGCACCUGGCGUGCAGAACUGAGGACGUGCGUUGGCACGGCUGUGGGAUGGGAUGAAGAUGGCGGUGGGCUGCUGUGCGGCUGGAGGCCUGCUGUGCCCUCUGCUCCCUGCGCUCGGCUGCACGUCUUCAACUCGGUGUGCUUGGAGUUGUGCUGAGCACUUCUGACAUUGGGCGCUUGUCUGCCUGCUGUGCGAGUGUUUGGGGAGAGCUGAAUGCGUGAUUCUGUCCGUGCUCCUAUUUUGAUUUUGUUGGUGCCUUUGCAUCACUUAUCAAACACAAGCCUCCUAUUGUUCUCCCUGCGGCUUCCUUCCAGUGCAUGCUUAUAUUUCAUUAUCUUAAUAAUAAUACCCAGGGUUUGAAAUCCUCAAAAAAAAACAACAAAACAAACAAAAAAAAACCAACCACCAACCCGAGAGAUAACAAACUCCUUUUCUGAUUACUAAAUGCACUUGAUUCAUAGAACAGAUGGCUGCUAUUCGAUACGCUGCCGUCACCGAGCCGCGCGCAGGGGCAGCAGCUCGGCUCGGAGGCAGCGGAGGAUGUCCUCGCCCGCUCCUUCCCCAGCAUGGCAGCACUGAUGCCAUUUUCCCCCCAGCCCCAGCGAUGCACAGCCUGCUCCCUGCAUCCCCUCCCCGCCUUGCUGGCGUGGGGCUGCUGGGCUCGUGCUGCCCGGAUCUGGCAGGCAGGAGGUGGCCGGCGGUGCCCGCGCGGAUUGGCUGCCCUCUGCUCCCCAGCCAGCACCGCCGAAUCUCCAAACAGCCCCAUUUCCAUCCAUUCAUGAAUCUGUGACGUCAGCACGCUUCUGUGCUCCUUUGCAGCAGGCUGCAGGAUUGUGUGGGUGGAAUUUCCUUUUAUUUUGCAACGCUUC
Non-coding RNA from Meleagris gallopavo (turkey), 5679 nucleotides. NCBI's taxonomy places the organism in Eukaryota, Metazoa, Chordata, Aves, Galliformes, Phasianidae. The record is from RefSeq and is a predicted model, not a curated record.